AUGGUUAUUACCUGGGAAUAUGAUCCUCUGUUCGUCGUCGUUCCCGACGACAACCAGAGUCUGAGGGGCUACUAUCUACACAGGGCACACCUAGCAUGUGCAGGACUAUCAUACAUUAUUUUACGUACCUCAAAGCCUGUCAGUAGACUCAUAAAAGCUUCAUGCAAUCCGCUUUCGGCGGAUGAGAUUCUCUCCAUCACCGUAUUCAUCAGCACACGGUGUUCAUCUGAGAUGGCCGCUCGCCCCACCAACUCCCUCAGAAUAUCCGAUCGCACACCAGAGGUGCCGGACUCUUUUGUCCGCUCUCUUUGGGAGCCGGACACUGGGAGCUUCGGGGGUCAAUGGGAUUAUCUUCUGGCCUCACCGGACUUGGAGAGGCCCUCCGCGACGACACUUCGGGGUCGCCCACUUCCGGAGCGGAGGAGUCCGGAGGAGGCGUUUCGCUCUCCAUCAUCUCUGGAAGAAGAUCCCCCGAAGACGAGCUCAUUUGAGAGGGGCUAA
RNAcentral lists this ribosomal RNA (501 nucleotides) under Triticum aestivum (bread wheat). RNAcentral describes it as "partial small subunit ribosomal RNA". Lineage: Eukaryota; Viridiplantae; Streptophyta; Magnoliopsida; Poales; Poaceae. The record is from RNAcentral.